RNAcentral lists this unclassified non-coding RNA (2242 nucleotides) under Hevea brasiliensis (rubber tree). The record is from RNAcentral. Lineage: Eukaryota; Viridiplantae; Streptophyta; Magnoliopsida; Malpighiales; Euphorbiaceae.
GGCAAAUUUUUUGGAAACUUGAACUAAUAUAGUUUUAUUUCAAGUAAUCAAAGUUGAUUACACUCCAAAGGCAAGGUUCAAUGCGAGUGUCAAAAAUUUUCAUACCAAACUUUUGAACAAAUGCCAAACUACAUCAACCUCACAGAAUACAAUAUGUUGUACAUUCCAAAAAAGUCUAGACAACCACAGCAGCAGAAGCAGUAUUUUUACCAGAUUUCAUAGAACAAAAAAGAUUUAAAACAUCAGCAUGGUUACGGAUGUAACAUGGGCAUUUGGACAGGAAAUCUUGUGCUUCAGCAUGCCUCCCAGCCUUGAAAAAGGCCUUGAAUAAACGAAGAACCACUGAUGUAGAUGGAAACUUUUUGGAAGUCAUAGACUUCAUAAAAGCUACAGCAUCAUCACCUGUUCCAGACUUCGUCACAUGCUUAAUAAAUGGAUCCACAAAGGGAGGAAAACCAUGAUUUUUCAUCAAAUCCAACAGAUUCAAGGCAUCUGCAAAUCCAUCCUGAACCAAUAAUUUAUUUAUCAAUCCUUUGUAGGUGGUAUGCCGAGGCGCUAACUGAUUAUGAAAAACGUAGCCAUGCAGAAGCUUGCAUGCAUCUAUAGCUCUGUUCUUGUAACAAUAAGCAUUUACCAAAGAUUCAAAGGCAUAAAUAGCAUUAGAAACUCCCUCCUUUUCAAUCAGUUUUUGGAAACAAUCAGAUGCAUUCUCAAGAUCCCCAGAUGCACAAUGCCCUUCAAUUAAAGAUGUCCAUGCCUUGUAAUCCAAAUUACUCCCAGAUGCUUCCAUAUGAUCCACAAAUUCACUCACUUUAUCCUUGUUCCCAGCACAACUAAGCCUGAAGACAAUCUUUCUCUGUAGAUUACCACUAGCUACAAACCCACCUUCCUUCAUUUCUUUCAAAACCUUAUUGCACUCUCCAAAUCUACCAACAGUUGUUAGAGAUUUAAGAACUGCAUUAAGCAUAGAAUCUGUCAAUGCAUAAUCAUUUCCAAUAAAGAUCCUUACAACCCUUGAAAACAAAUUCAUAUCAAAUUCUUUACCAACCACUAUCUUCUUCAACAAAAAGGUGCAGCAUUGCACUGAAGGCUUAUUAGUGCCACCCAUUGCAAACUCAUACAAGUCCACAGCCUCCUUAAUCAUUUUCCUCUUUACAAACCGUGCCAAAACCUUGACAUAUAUCUCCUCCUCCAUUUCAUAUCCAUUGCUCCUCAUUUCAUCAACCACCUUCCAAAACCUGUCAAUACAAUCUUCCCUUCCCAAAACCAUAGCCAUUGCAUUAUAACUCCUUUCAUCAUGCUUAUACAGCCCACUGUCCUCGACCCACCUAAAAAAUAUCAAUGCUUUUAUAGGUUCCAUACCUAAAUUCUCCAAUACAAUCUUCACCAAAUUACUUGAAAAUGCUACAUUUAAAUCAUUAAUCUGCUGUUCAACAUCUUCUCCCCAAACUUGAUUCCUAACAAUCCUACUCACCCUCAAACCAAUCUUUUCCACAGAAUUAUCUACAGAUCCUGUCGCAAAAAGUGCUUUCAUCUUCUCCAGAUCACUCCUUAAUCCUUCUUUCUCAAAUUUCUCCACUACUUUGUCCCGUGCACCCUUUGACACACCAUAACCUUUUUUCUUCAUGGUUUCAACUAAAGCCCAAAAUUGCUCAACGGGCCCAUUAACACCCAGAAUUCCCAGCAUCAAAUUAUAAGCUCUGGAGCUCAAUCUUUCACUGUCCUUCUCCAAAACCCAAUCGAAAAACCUUUGAGCCACAUCAGGGCUAGACUCGAGGGACUUCAAGACUUUCAAUACCAAUUCAUGGUUAAUAACAACACUGUUUAACUCCAAUUCUUUGGUAAUAUCAUUGAUAUCAGUAAAUUUAGUGAAAAUAUCAUAUACAAGAAAACAAUGAUCCGUGUCCUUUUUGGGUUCAACCAGUGGCUCAGACGAGAAAUAGCGAGCAAUUGGGAUUUUGGAAUUUAUGGGGUUUUUAGGGUCUGCGAAAUGAACUUGAAGUGAAGGCGUGCGGAGCGAACAGAAAUAGCGAAGAGAGGGGGAAGAGGAGUGUACCUGGAAAUGAUGAUGGGAGGCAUGAGCAGGGGUUAUGAGGGACGAGCGAGGGUACUUUCGGAAGAGAAGUGACCGCCAUAAAUGUCUCAUUUCUAUGUUCCUGAGUCCUUUUUUUGGGGGGGUCAAGGUAUGAUCUUGAGACUUGAGGGAGAGAUAUUGGUAUGGUGUAUUUUAGGGUUUUAGCGG